RNAcentral lists this long non-coding RNA (1264 nucleotides) under Sorghum bicolor (sorghum). RNAcentral describes it as "long non-coding RNA (SBIC_LNC017918)". The record is from RNAcentral. Lineage: Eukaryota; Viridiplantae; Streptophyta; Magnoliopsida; Poales; Poaceae.
ACAGUGAAAUUCACUGUAAGGGCGGUUCAACACCAGCCGCCCUUACAGUGGCUCACUGUAAGUGCGGUUGGAAGCAACAACCGCCCUUACUAGUGACCACUUUAAGAGUGGCUGGUGCUUCCAGCCGUCCUUAUAGUGAGCAUUAGAAAGGGCGGCUUGUGUCUCAGCCGCCUCUAUUGUCUGCAUUUGCAAGGGUGGCUCAAUCUAGAACCGCCCCUACAGUUAUUUUUCAGAAAAAAAUAAAAAUUACAAUAAUCGAGUUGACAGCACAACACAACACCACAUACAUAUAUACAUAUAUAAUCAGAUUCUCAACAUCACAGAUUCACAACAUAAAUAUCCAUACAUAUACACAGCACCACAUUUCAAGUCCAAAAUGUUUCCUAGUCCAUUACAAAUCCAUCCAAAAGAGACCAAAAUUUUUCAAGUACUAAUACAAAUCGAUCACUCCAUUCCAACAAGUUCACAUGUAAUCAACGACCUAGACAUAGCCUAUCCCACUGACGGAGGUGCUGGUAAAGAGGAUUGCUACCUAAGUCGGAAUGUGGGUUAUGGUAAUCACCUUUGUUAGCAACAAUUAUUAGCUAUCAUUAUUAGUAAUAAUUGUGUUAGAAACGAUUAUUAGACAUAAUUAAUAUUACCAAUUAUUAUCUACCAUUAUUAGCAACAAUUAAUAAGUAACAAUUAUUAUCUACCAUUAUUAGCAACAAUUAUUAGCUAUCAUGAUUAGUAAUAAUUGUGUUAGAAAAGAUUAUUAGACAUAAUUAAUAUUACCAAUUAUUAUCUACCAUUAUUAGAAACAAUUAAUAUUAACAACAACUAUUAGUUUACCAAUAACUAUUCAUGCCAACCACAUUCCAAAUUCAUGAAAAAAAACAAAAAAAGAAACCCUAGAUCUAGAAUGCCUUUUCUCUCCAUACAUGAAACUACAAUUAAUCUCCAAUAAAAUCAAGCUAUAUCACCUAAUUGAUGGUGCAAGGUGGUGUCUCUACCUAUUCUACACUAAUAGCAUCGUAGAUAAGCUCUAAUUUUGUCAACACAAAGCUCAAGCUCCAUGGAAGAGAGAGAAAACCAAAAUAUAAAUUGCUCACUAACCAACCAAUAAAACUUGGAUUAGAGGGUGGGAAUAGCAUUUUCUUACCUUAAACAAGCUCCCCACCAAAGGAUUUAAGUUCAAAACCUCCCCCCCUUCCUAGAGUGAUUUUGGGGAGGUGCCCAAGGCCUCCCAAACCUUUUUUUGCGAGUGGAAGUGAGUGGCUCGGGG